Long non-coding RNA from Acanthopagrus latus (yellowfin seabream), 402 nucleotides. RefSeq lists it as uncharacterized. The transcript has 3 exons. The record is from RefSeq and is a predicted model, not a curated record. NCBI's taxonomy places the organism in Eukaryota, Metazoa, Chordata, Actinopteri, Spariformes, Sparidae.
GUGACAGAGUAAACAGAGAGGUGACACUCCCAUAGACCUCCGUUGAAAAAAAUGGUGGUGCUUUUUAACGCCUGUUUCUGGAAUAUGGCAGUAGGAUUAGUCCCAAACACUGUCAUUUGGGCAUUGGACCUCAUUCACUUACAUUGAUGCGCGUCGAGUAGUUCCAGAGACUCUCUCUCUUUAAGGCUGCCCUGUCCCCCAAGAAUGUUCCAGGGAUGUGCCUUUCAUUGGUGUGGACUUCACAGGCAUUCUUCACAUUUAGCACCAGGGUCCAUGCAGCCUUUUGUCUCAGCAUAUGUAAGUACAAAAUAAGCUACCAGCUCUCUGUUCAUCUAAACAUUAUUCAAACUAUACCUUAAGUUAUUCCUGCUCUCUUUCUUUCCUUUGUAUGCCUGUCUCUGC